This is a long non-coding RNA of Malus domestica (apple), 680 nucleotides long. RefSeq lists it as uncharacterized. NCBI's taxonomy places the organism in Eukaryota, Viridiplantae, Streptophyta, Magnoliopsida, Rosales, Rosaceae. The record is from RefSeq and is a predicted model, not a curated record.
GUAGUGGAUCAUAUCUCAAUUAUGACUCACUCACUUCACCCUCACCUCACUCACACGGCCUCACCCCUCACAUCCCCAUUCCCCUAUUUCACACAGCCGACCCUCACUCAUGGCCUCUCAUCCAAAAAUAUCAGCGAUUCCUCAGGCAGCCCACAACCUCAAUCCUCUGCGACAACCCUCAUCCUCCCUCAUUUAUGACAACUCACGACUCUUCGUCCUCCGUCCUGCCUCCUUAAUGGGUUCCUUGUCGGUGUCAUGAGUAAAGAAUCCUUGUGGAAUGAAGGACAUUUACCUAGAUCAGUGAAGGUAGAAGAUUGGGAUAGGGAUAGAGAUCGUGAAAGGGAUGAUGGGGUUAAAGAUAAACAAGAGAUGGCAUGUGUUUGACAUUUACUUGAUAUUGCCAUCCUGAUUCUAAGACCAACAACCCCAAAACGAAUUAUCUAAUAGUAUUUUUAUGGUUUCCUCCUUACUUGGUAUGUAUAUUCCUUUUUGCAUCGUUAUUGUUAUGUCUUUGUAAAGCAAUCUCUGGUCACUCAUGACUUAUUUAGUUGCAUUUGCAAUAAGUCUUAUAUGAAGGAAGCUUCUAUUAUGUUGCAAAAGAUAGCAGUUGUACAAAUUUGUACUCAAAAUUGGUUGAUUGAAAUAACAUCUCAAUUUUAGACGACAAGACAAUAUUGGAA